Molecule: ribosomal RNA, 253 nt
Filed under: uncultured bacterium
Lineage: Bacteria
Description: partial 16S ribosomal RNA
Rfam family: Bacterial small subunit ribosomal RNA
Source: RNAcentral
UACAGAGGUCCCAAGCGUUGUUCGGAUUCACUGGGCGUAAAGGGUGCGUAGGUGGCGGGGUAAGUCUGAUAUUAAAGACUGGGGCUUAACUCCAGGAGUGUAUCGGAAACUGCCAAACUAGAGGACAAUAGAGGAAGUCGGAAUUCUCAGUGUAGCGGUGAAAUGCGUAGAUAUUGGGAAGAACACCAGUGGCGAAAGCGGACUUCUGGGUUGUUACUGACGCUGAGGUACGAAAGCGUGGGGAGCAAACGGG